RNAcentral lists this ribosomal RNA (494 nucleotides) under uncultured bacterium. RNAcentral's name for it is "partial 16S ribosomal RNA". It matches the Rfam family "Bacterial small subunit ribosomal RNA", at positions 28 to 507 of the family's 1533-position model. The record is from RNAcentral.
GACGAACGCUGGCGGCGUGCUUAACACAUGCAAGUCGAACGGUGAAGCGCCUUCCUUUUUGGUGGGUGUGGAUGAGUGGCGAACGGGUGAGUAACACGUGAGUAACCUGCCCCCUUCUUCUGGAUAACCGCAUGAAAGUGUGGCUAAUACGGGAUAUUCUGGGUCUGUCGCAUGAUGGGUCUGGGAAAGAUAUUGUUUCGGUGGGGGAUGGGCUCGCGGCCUAUCAGCUUGUUGGUGGGGUGAUGGCCUACCAAGGCGGUGACGGGUAGCCGGCCUGAGAGGGUGGCCGGUCACACUGGGUCUGAGACACGGCCCGGACUGCUACGGGAGGCAGCAGUGGGGAAUAGUGCACAGUGGGCGAAAGCCUGAUGCAGCGACGCCGCGUGAGGGAUGGAGGCCUUCGGGUUGUGAACCUCUUUCGCCAGUGAAGCAGGCCUGCCUCGUUUGUGGGUGGGUUGACGGUAGCUGGAUAAGAAGCGCCGGCUAACUACGUG